Molecule: ribosomal RNA, 1609 nt
Filed under: Ceratomyxa sp. j AC-2020
Lineage: Eukaryota; Metazoa; Cnidaria; Myxozoa; Bivalvulida; Ceratomyxidae
Description: SSU rRNA
Rfam family: Eukaryotic small subunit ribosomal RNA
Source: RNAcentral
UGCUUAGCGUAGCACCUCAGAGUAUUUAGCUAGGCCUUAUUAAGUUCACAACAAAAGUUGAAACUGCGAAGCGCUCAGUAAAUCAGUUAUUGUCCCUUCGAUCGUAGUACCACAUCGGAUAACUGUGGCAAAUCUAGAGCUAAUACGUGCGAAAAUUACUGCCCUGCAGUAGCAUUUAUUAGUAUAAACACAUUUGUGUAGGUGAAUCUAGAUAACUUUGCAUAUCAUCCAAUUGGAUGAUAGUUCGAUCGAAUUUCUGCCCUAUCAUUUUGUCGGUGAGGUAGUGGCACACCGAGGAUGCAACGGGUAACGGGGAAUCAGGGUUCGAUUCCGGAGAGGGAGCCUGAGAAACGGCUACCACAUCCAAGGAAGGCAGCAGGCGCGCAAAUUACCCAAUCCAGACACUGGGAGGUAGUGACGAGAAAUACCGAAUCAAACUAGAAGUUUGAUACCGGAACAUACUUGAUUUAAUAAAUCUCGUUUUAAUUGGAGGGCAAGUCUGGUGCCAGCAGCCGCGGUAAUUCCAGCUCCAAUAGUGUACAUCAAAAUUGUUGCACUUAAAACGCUCGUAGUUGGAUUGCAGUCCGUUCGCCAGCAUGGCUAGUCUUUUUAGCAGUCUGGCGGCGGAAAAUUUUGCAGGGCUCGGCUGCCCGCUUUAUUGCGGACGGCAGAAUUCCCUGCAGAGCGUGCCUUGAAUAAAGCAUAGUGCUCAAAACAGGCGCAAGCUCGAGUGUAAUAGCAUGGAACGAAUACACGCCACAAUUGUGGUUGAUUAAAAGGAACAUUAGAGGGCAUUAGUACUUGAUGGCGAGAGGUGAAAUUCUUAGACCCAUCAAAGACUGACUACUGCGAAAGCAUUUGCCAAGAAUGUUUUCAUUAAUCAAGAACGAAAGUUAAAGGUUCGAAGACGAUGCCGAUGCUGAACACAUAUGCUAGCAUGCAUUGCAAUAGACCGCUCAUCCUGCAUGAGGUUGGUUAGUUUCCACGCGAAAGCGAAAGUUUUCAGGCUGUGGGGAUAGUAUAGUUGCAAGGCUGAAAUUUCAAGAAAUUGACGGAAAGGCACCACCAGGAGUGGAGCCUGCGGCUUAAUUUGACUCAACACGGGGCAACUUACCAGGUCCAGACAUUGGAAGGAUUGACAGACUGACGAGAUCUUUCAUGAUUCGAUGAUUGGUGGUGCAUGGCCGUUCUUAGUUGGUGGAGUGAUCUGUCAGGUUAAUUCCGGUAACGAACGAGAUUUUAGUCCCUAUUUUCUGACUCUUCUCUGUUAAGGGUGAAUAGGGAGACUUUACUUGUAAGAGUAAGGAGGUAAAGCAAUAACAGGUCUGUGAUGCCCUUCGAUGUCCUGGGCUGCACGCGCGCUACAAUGAAAACAGCAAAAAGUCUCUGUUCCGAGAGGGACGGGCAAUCUCUUAAUUGUUUUCAUGCUAUGGAUUGAGCCUUGUAAUUAUUGCUCAUGAAAGAGGAAUUCCUUGUAAGUGCGAGUCACCAACUCGUGUUGAAUACGUCUCUGCCUUUUGUACACACCGCCCGUCGCUACUACCGAUUGAAUCUAUUUCCAAGAAUGCCGAUCACGUAUGUCACAGAUUGUCUAAUCGGCAUGGAAUCG